CCCUCCCCUAAAUCACUCCAAAAAAACAAUCCCCAAUUCUACACAAGUGUUUCUACACUAACAAAGCAACAGCUCCUUAACGAAUUCCCAACUUUACACGAGCUCGUCUCUCGAGGUUAAAUGUUAUUACUUGGUAAGAUUCCGGACCUCGCCAAGUGUUUUGAAAACCCGCAACGCUCGCAAAGGUGCAUAGUGAGAAUAAUAAGUGAAGAGACAGACUUGUCCAAAACGCCCACCACGAAGGUGCAUAGUGAGAAGAGUAAGUCAAGAGAUAGACUUGUCCAAAAAGAAACGGAAGAGAAAGCUUGGGGAGACGCUCACGAAGGUGCAUAGUGAGAAGAGUAAGUCAAGAGAUAGACUUGUUCAAAAAGAAACAGAAGAGAAUGCUUGGGGUUACACUCACGAAGGUGCAUAGUGAGAAGAGUAAGUCAAGAGAUAGACUUGUUCAAAAAGAAACAAAAGAGAAUGCUUGGGGUUACACUCACGAAGGUGCAUAGUGAGAAGAGUAAGUCAAGAGACAGACUUGUUCAAAAAGAAACAAAAGAGAAUGCUUGGGGAGAUAGAAGUGUGAGAUAGUUCUCAAGCUAAGAAAGUUGUAAAAGCUAAGAACUAGCAAGUAAUCGUCCAGGAUUCCUCCACCAGGACUUGAAAUCGUCGAGGGAAAAAAUCGGUUCCGAGGAAUCGUCGAUCCGGACUUGGAAUCGUCGAGAAAAGUUUACCGGGUCCGAGGAUUUGUCGAC
This 740-nucleotide unclassified non-coding RNA is filed under the name Arabidopsis thaliana (thale cress). RNAcentral describes it as "3' external transcribed spacer". Lineage: Eukaryota; Viridiplantae; Streptophyta; Magnoliopsida; Brassicales; Brassicaceae. The record is from RNAcentral.